GACUGUACUCUAGCUAUUUGAAAUCAAUUAUCAAACUACAAAACACCAAGGCUUACUACUUCUGUCUUAAUUCAACACAUAAUCCAUUCUAUGACUAUUAAUUCAACAAUACUUCUAUAUUCUUAUUAGUUCAUCUUCCACUUACUUUCUUCGCAGUUUAUUUAUAUUCAAUUACUGAUCUUCAACUUACUUAUUAUAUUUAUUUUCUCAAUUCAUCACAUAGAAUUCAAUAUCUUCACUUAACAUAACACAAUUUGCUAAUCUCAAUUCUCAAGGUCACAGAUUUUCUCCAAAAUGGUCAAUUCAAAGUCAUAUUCUAUAAUAUUCUAAUCACAGUUUCAACAAUACUUCUCUCAAUCACAAUUUUUCAUAAGCAAAUAAUAAAAAUAAAGAAAAUAAAGAGGUAGCACCAAUCUUACUCUGGCUUAUGACUCUCACAAUUUGGCCCCGAUCUCCUUUUUCUCAACCUCUUUAUCCUACCAAAAGAUGGACCGUAGGCCAACAGAUUCCAAAGAUUAUAAACUUUUGAAUUCUUAACUAUUUGUUCCACUAACAACCUAUUGUUACCAACUAAACUACCUAACCAUAAGUCUAAUUCUCAAGAUUGUCAAUAACCAACCAAUAACUUAUCACAAAAUUUAUUUACAUAUUCUACAUAGUCCCACUCCUAAUUCUGUAGUAUCCUCGCAAACAUUAUUUAGCCUCAACUUAUAAAGACGUAGGAGUGUUGGCUUCUUCAGUUAAUGGCAUUGACUUACUAUCCUUUGAAUUCGUGACCUCUUCUUCUGCUACAUCUUCAUCAUCUGUCUCGAUGUUCGAGGAUUCUCCAUCCAAAUGUGCCAUCAGAUCUUCAUUCAACAAAUCCAAUUCUUGUACUUGAGACUCAAGAUGGUAAUUUGGUUGUUGCACUCCUCCAACAUCUUCUGCCAUUCUUUUGUCAAUUUCAAAGGUAUUUUCGAAGGUUUUGUCGCUUCCAAUUCUAAUAAACAUCCAAUUGGAUUGGCUCCAUGUUAGUCACAAUAAUACACUCCAAUGGUGGCAACUCAUCCUUGUGCCUCAUAUUGUGCUGUUUUUCCUCCCUAUUCAACUACUUUUUAGUCUUCUCAAUCAUCAUUGUAUUCUAAUACAAGCAAGCACUCACAACUAAUCUCUCAAAGUACACAUAUAUGGCUAUUUAUACAAAAGUAAAUAUGAUGCUUGUCAAGAGCCCCCCUCCUACUUCUUACUAUGGUCCAAUCAAUUGGAUCCACUCUCCCUUAUUUUCCACGAUUCAUCAUGAUGAAAUAUCCUACUAACUAACUCUGAUAACCAGUCUUUACUAUCAUUG
This 1327-nucleotide long non-coding RNA is filed under the name Physcomitrium patens. Its description in RNAcentral is "long non-coding RNA (PPAT_LNC001072)". The record is from RNAcentral. Lineage: Eukaryota; Viridiplantae; Streptophyta; Bryopsida; Funariales; Funariaceae.